RNAcentral lists this small RNA (131 nucleotides) under Salmonella enterica. RNAcentral describes it as "RtT sRNA". It matches the Rfam family "RtT RNA". From Rfam's summary of the family: This family represents a bacterial cis-regulatory element known as RtT RNA. The exact function of RtT is unknown although it is thought that it may be involved in changing the cellular response in relation to amino acid starvation. The record is from RNAcentral. Lineage: Bacteria; Pseudomonadati; Pseudomonadota; Gammaproteobacteria; Enterobacterales; Enterobacteriaceae. RNAcentral also lists the same sequence under 1 other name.
UAUCUCUCCGUACGGGGAAGGAUGAGAAGCUUCGACUAAGGUUCGAUUCGAGCGCAGCGAGAAAGCGUUGCCGUAGGCAACGACCCGAAGGGCGAAGCGCGCAACGCUGAGUCAUCCUUCCCCCACCACCA